This 1507-nucleotide ribosomal RNA is filed under the name metagenome. RNAcentral's name for it is "bacterial SSU rRNA". It matches the Rfam family "Bacterial small subunit ribosomal RNA". The record is from RNAcentral.
AGAGUUUGAUCCUGGCUCAGGACGAACGCUGGCGGCGUGCCUAAUACAUGCAAGUAGAACGCUGAAGAGAGGAGCUUGCUCUUCUUGGAUGAGUUGCGAACGGGUGAGUAACGCGUAGGUAACCUGCCUUGUAGCGGGGGGAUAACUAUUGGAAACGAUAGCUAAUACCGCAUAACAAUGGAUGACACAUGUCAUUUAUUUGAAAGGGGCAAUUGUUCCACUACAAGAUGGACCUGCGUUGUAUUAGCUAGUAGGUGAGGUAAUGGCUCACCUAGGCGACGAUACAUAGCCGACCUGAGAGGGUGAUCGGCCACACUGGGACUGAGACACGGCCCAGACUCCUACGGGAGGCAGCAGUAGGGAAUCUUCGGCAAUGGGGGCAACCCUGACCGAGCAACGCCGCGUGAGUGAAGAAGGUUUUCGGAUCGUAAAGCUCUGUUGUAAGUCAAGAACGGGUGUGAGAGUGGAAAGUUCACACUGUGACGGUAGCUUACCAGAAAGGGACGGCUAACUACGUGCCAGCAGCCGCGGUAAUACGUAGGUCCCGAGCGUUGUCCUGAUUUAUUGGGCGUAAAGCGAGCGCAGGCGGUUUGAUAAGUCUGAAGUUAAAGGCUGUGGCUCAACCAUAGUUCGCUUUGGAAACUGUCAAACUUGAGUGCAGAAGGGGAGAGUGGAAUUCCAUGUGUAGCGGUGAAAUGCGUAGAUAUAUGGAGGAACACCGGUGGCGAAAGCGGCUCUCUGGUCUGUAACUGACGCUGAGGCUCGAAAGCGUGGGGAGCGAACAGGAUUAGAUACCCUGGUAGUCCACGCCGUAAACGAUGAGUGCUAGGUGUUGGAUCCUUUCCGGGAUUCAGUGCCGCAGCUAACGCAUUAAGCACUCCGCCUGGGGAGUACGACCGCAAGGUUGAAACUCAAAGGAAUUGACGGGGGCCCGCACAAGCGGUGGAGCAUGUGGUUUAAUUCGAAGCAACGCGAAGAACCUUACCAGGUCUUGACAUCCCGAUGCUAUUUCUAGAGAUAGAAAGUUACUUCGGUACAUCGGUGACAGGUGGUGCAUGGUUGUCGUCAGCUCGUGUCGUGAGAUGUUGGGCUAAGUCCCGCAACGAGCGCAACCCCUAUUGUUAGUUGCCAUCAUUCAGUUGGGCACUCUAGCGAGACUGCCGGUAAUAAACCGGAGGAAGGUGGGGAUGACGUCAAAUCAUCGUGCCCCUUAUGACCUGGGCUACACACGUGCUACAAUGGUUGGUACAACGAGUUGCGAGUCGGUGACGGCGAGCUAAUCUCUUAAAGCCAAUCUCAGUUCGGAUUGUAGGCUGCAACUCGCCUACAUGAAGUCGGAAUCGCUAGUAAUCGCGGAUCAGCACGCCGCGGUGAAUACGUUCCCGGGCCUUGUACACACCGCCCGUCACACCACGAGAGUUUGUAACACCCGAAGUCGGUGAGGUAACCUUUUGGAGCCAGCCGCCUAAGGUGGGACAGAUGAUUGGGGUGAAGUCGUAACAAGGUA